Molecule: ribosomal RNA, 492 nt
Filed under: uncultured bacterium
Lineage: Bacteria
Description: partial 16S ribosomal RNA
Rfam family: Bacterial small subunit ribosomal RNA
Source: RNAcentral
AGUGAACGCUGGCGGUAGGCCUAACACAUGCAAGUCGAACGGCAGCACAGUAAGAGCUUGCUCUUACGGGUGGCGAGUGGCGGACGGGUGAGGAAUACAUCGGAAUCUACUUUUUCGUGGGGGACAACGUAGGGAAACUUACGCUAAUACCGCAUACGACCUACGGGUGAAAGCAGGGGAUCUUCGGACCUUGCGCGAUUGAAUGAGCCGAUGUCGGAUUAGCUAGUUGGCGGGGUAAAGGCCCACCAAGGCGACGAUCCGUAGCUGGUCUGAGAGGAUGAGCAGCCACACUGGAACUGAGACACGGUCCAGACUCCUACGGGAGGCAGCAGUGGGGAAUAUUGGACAAAGGGCGCAAGCCUGAUCCAGCCAUACCGCGUGGGUGAAGAAGGCCUUCGGGUUGUAAAGCCCUUUUGUUGGGAAAGAAAAGCAGCAGGUUAAUACCCCGCUGUUCUGACGGUACCCAAAGAAUAAGCACCGGCUAACUUCGUG